Small nucleolar RNA from Protopterus annectens (West African lungfish), 154 nucleotides. RefSeq annotates it as small nucleolar RNA SNORA14. The record is from RefSeq and is a predicted model, not a curated record. NCBI's taxonomy places the organism in Eukaryota, Metazoa, Chordata, Ceratodontiformes, Protopteridae. The transcript has a single exon.
AUUAACUCACGAACUAUCCUGGUAGGUUAGCAUUAAUGCUAACCUACCAGGAUAGUUUGUGAGUUAAUGCUAACCUGCCAAGAUAAUUAACCAGUUAAUGCUAACCUACCAGGAUAAUUCGUGAGUUAACUGGUUAAUUAUCUUGGCAGGUUAG